UGGUUCUAUUGGUUAUAUAAUAAAAGAUAUUACCAAAUACAUGCAUUAAGCAUAUGAGAACAUAACUAAAUAUGUGGUUGUUUGCCUUUGCAGGAAAGGGUGAAGCCAUGGGUCUGUACCAUCUGUAAGACUGGCAGUGUACCUCUCUAGGAGAAAGAAACUCUUCCCACCCAGAGGCAUCUCGACAUGGCUCCAGAAGGUCUCCAGAGCCACAGCUCAGUUUCUGGUUAUGGGAGGCAUUUCUCUCCAAACAGCGUGUAGCUAUUCACCCCCACAGGAUUAAUCAUGAUCCAGAACCUGGAUGUUCUCCUGCUUAGUGCCCAGGGGCUUAGUCCAGCAAACAUUUGCAGAUGACACAUAACGCAAGCUGGCAUAACCAAACAUAAUCCCAGUAAUGACACUCUUAUCUAUAACCUGGUAAAACACAUCUGGGUUAUGAUUUCUUACCACUCAGCUCUUUAUAAUAGCUUACCCUUGGAGCACUAGCUAGGAGAGAGAAGG
This 501-nucleotide long non-coding RNA is filed under the name Anas platyrhynchos platyrhynchos (common mallard). Its description in RNAcentral is "lncRNA (ENSAPLG00000020976.1)". The record is from RNAcentral. Lineage: Eukaryota; Metazoa; Chordata; Aves; Anseriformes; Anatidae.